CUGAGAGUUUGAUCCUGGCUCAGAACGAACGCUGGCGGCAGGCUUAACACAUGCAAGUCGAACGAUAUAGUGGCAGACGGGUGAGUAACGCGUGGAAACGUGCCUUUCACUACGGAAUAGCUUUUGGAAACGAAAGGUAAUACCGUAUACGCCCUCCGGGGGAAAGAUUUAUCGGUGAAAGAUCGGUCCGCGUUAGAUUAGCUAGUUGGUGAGGUAAC
Molecule: ribosomal RNA, 218 nt
Filed under: Madagascaria erythrocladioides
Lineage: Eukaryota; Rhodophyta; Compsopogonophyceae; Erythropeltidales; Erythrotrichiaceae
Description: partial Bacterial small subunit ribosomal RNA
Rfam family: Bacterial small subunit ribosomal RNA
Source: RNAcentral